UACGAAGGGGGCUAGCGUUGCUCGGAAUCACUGGGCGUAAAGGGUGCGUAGGCGGGUUUUUAAGUCAGAGGUGAAAUCCUGGAGCUCAACUCCAGAACUGCCUUUGAUACUGGAAAUCUUGAGUAUGGGAGAGGUGAGUGGAACUGCGAGUGUAGAGGUGAAAAUUCGUAGAUAUUCGCAAGAACACCAGUGGCGAAAGGCGGCUCACUGGCCCAUAACUGACGCUGAGGCACGAAAGCGUGGGGAGCAAACAGG
RNAcentral lists this ribosomal RNA (255 nucleotides) under uncultured bacterium. Its description in RNAcentral is "partial 16S ribosomal RNA". It matches the Rfam family "Bacterial small subunit ribosomal RNA", at positions 524 to 776 of the family's 1533-position model. The record is from RNAcentral.